This 468-nucleotide ribosomal RNA is filed under the name uncultured bacterium. Its description in RNAcentral is "partial 16S ribosomal RNA". It matches the Rfam family "Bacterial small subunit ribosomal RNA", at positions 28 to 507 of the family's 1533-position model. The record is from RNAcentral.
GACGAACGCUGGCGGCGUGCUUAACACAUGCCAGUCGAACGGAAAGGCCCUGCUUUUGUGGGGUGCUCGAGUGGCGAACGGGUGAGUAACACGUGAGUAACCUGCCCUUGACUUUGGGAUAACUUCAGGAAACUGGGGCUAAUACCGGAUAGGAGCUCCUGCUGCAUGGUGGGGGUUGGAAAGUUUCGGCGGUUGGGGAUGGACUCGCGGCUUAUCAGCUUGUUGGUGGGGUAGUGGCUUACCAAGGCUUUGACGGGUAGCCGGCCUGAGAGGGUGACCGGCCACAUUGGGACUGAGACACGGCCCAGACUCCUACGGGAGGCAGCAGUGGGGAAUAUUGCACAAUGGGCGGAAGCCUGAUGCAGCAACGCCGCGUGCGGGAUGACGGCCUUCGGGUUGUAAACCGCUUUCGCCUGUGACGAAGCGUGAGUGACGGUAAUGGGUAAAGAAGCACCGGCUAACUACGUG